This is a long non-coding RNA of Glycine soja, 2004 nucleotides long. RefSeq lists it as uncharacterized. NCBI's taxonomy places the organism in Eukaryota, Viridiplantae, Streptophyta, Magnoliopsida, Fabales, Fabaceae. The record is from RefSeq and is a predicted model, not a curated record. The transcript has 2 exons.
CCUAACGUCUCAGCAGCCGCUUCUUCACCUGCUUUGUCUCUGUAGCUCACUUUGAUCCCAUGGUGCUCUCUUCGGUUCAUGUUUGUUAAUCUUUUCUUCUUCUUGUUGUUAUUUGAGUUGCAGGUUCAUUCUUUGUUGUACUGUGUAUGUAUUUGAGUUCGCGAUUUUUGUUGUGGUCGAACUGUGUAUGUAUUUGCUUUGGUUUUUUCCCCAUAAACAUUUGAUCUUUAAGUUUGAGAUUUUUGAGUUGAACCGUAUAUGUAUUUGAGUUCGCGGUUUUUGCUUUCUAGGUUAUGUUCUUGCUUUGUUUUUAUGUUGGAUACAGACUUUAAAGUUAAAGUAAUUAAAUCUUAGGAUAUGUGCAGUUAAGAAUUUUUAUGGAGAAAUUUUAUUUUGCUACAAAUAAAUCGAUAGGGUCUGUGCAAUUAAAAAAUGUAAGUGCAAGAGAUCUAGAUCCAUAGAUAUAAGAACAGGUACAACUAUGUAAAUAUUUAAAUGGUUGUUAGCUUAAUAAAAGUACUCCAAAGCCAAGCUAACUAGCAAGUGUGGAAUUGUUGCUAAAGUCUGUAAUUGCUACUAUAGUGAAUGUGGACAUGACGCAACAUAAACCAUUGAAUGGAUGGAUCAAUAGUGUAAUUGCUUCUAUAGUGAAUUUGGACAUAUAGUAAAAGUGGUAUUUUUCCUUGAAAAACAAGAUUUCUUCCCUUAUUCUGUAGCUGACUAUUUGGCAUUUUAUGCUAAGGAUCACGACCUUGGAAUUUGGCUAGAAGAGCCACCCAAUUGUAUUUUUGAGAUGUUAGCUUUCAAUUUCAAUGAUUGAGCUAAAAUAUUAAUAGUAGAAGGAAAUAUGUAGGCACUAAGCUAUGUAAUUGAGCUAGUUUUAAUUACAAAGUAUGAAAUAAGACAAGACAAUAAUUAUGUUAUUGAUUAUAAGGCCUAAGAUGUCAGUCCAAACUAUACACAACUUCUUGUUGUUUAAUUAAUUAGUGUGUUGUUGUUUAAGGAUUAUUCCUUAGCUCUUUGUAUGUGUUUGCUUUGGUCUUGUGUUGUUUAAUUAGUGUAUUAUUGUCUUGUUUAUUAUAAUUGUAUGAGAAUUUUGUCUUAUUAGAAUGCCACCCAAAAAGGAUUGUGCUAAGUAGGAUGACAACAAAUUUUUUUUCUAGAAUAUGUAACGAAGAGAUAGAUGUUAGACAUAGGCCAAGAACACAUUUUAGUAAAGAAGGGUGGAAGAAUUUAGAGAAAAAAUUCCACGAGAGAAAAUAGUGUGCUUAUGAGAAUAUUCAAUUAAAAAACAAACAAGAUGCGUUAAAAAAGGAUUUUUAAUCUUUUGCUAAGUUGGUUGAGAAAGACACCGCUCUUGGUUGAAAUUAUGAGAAACAAACCAUUAUAGCAGAAGAAGAAUGGUGGGUUAGAAAAAGCAAGGAAGAUUCAAAAUAUCUUGAAGUGGAAACAAAGGGGACCUAAAUUCCUAGAUUUGUUGCAUAAAUGUUUCAAGAGCACAAUAGCUAAAUGUACUUUCUAUUUUAACGUAUUAAGCACCUAAUGUUGAUGGUGAGGAUAAUGCAACACAUGGAGAAACUCAAUUUAAUGAGAAGAACAGCCAAAUGCAAUGCCAACUCCUUCAAACGUGAAUGCCAAGAGGAAAAGAGGCGAAAAGAAAGAAAAAAAAUUGGGACAACAGAUAGACUUAAAAAAUCACUUGACCGUGUUGUCGAUGUGUUGGAUUGGGUCUGAAAUACUAUUGUUAUAGGACCAAAACCGAAAGACCUUUACAACUAUGACAAGUGUUUUUUAUUAUUAAAUGAUGUUCAACUCUUGAUUAAGGGAUCCCGUUUAUUUUUUUGGCUAUGAUAAUCCUAACUAUCAAGGAGAAUAUAGUAGCAUUUGUAUACUUCAUGGUCAAUGAUCCUGAGAUGACCUAUGAGUAGCUCAACACUUUUACUGAGUCGAACAACCCAUGGGCUUGUUGUUAGCAUGUUUAAUACAUAGGCCUAGUUUUUGUGA